This is a long non-coding RNA of Lolium rigidum, 1746 nucleotides long. RefSeq lists it as uncharacterized. The record is from RefSeq and is a predicted model, not a curated record. The transcript has 3 exons. NCBI's taxonomy places the organism in Eukaryota, Viridiplantae, Streptophyta, Magnoliopsida, Poales, Poaceae.
AUAUGCUUAAUCGGCAGGUAAAGCUACUUACGUACUCCAUCCGAUACAUAAUAAGUAUCGUGGUUUUAGUUCAAAUUGGAACCAAUUGAAACUAAAGCAAUGACACUUAUUAUGGAUCGGUGGGAGUGCUAUUUAUGGGGCCAUUAGGACUCUGUAAGUUCAUACUUUCCUUCAUGGAAAUUCUCCGCUUUAAGUGGUAAUGUAACUCCUUAACUAGGAUAUUUUUACGCAUUUUGCAUCCAUUCAAUUGGAAUUGUUUUAACCCAAAUAAUAUUUCAAAUGUGAUGUUCAGGUGUUUCAUCAGUAAGCACCUAGCAGAAAUAUUUGUUUCAGAUUUUUGUCUACACAUGAUGAAAAAGACCAGGUUCAGUCUUACCCAUCAACGUGUCAUUGAUAUGCAAAAAUGUGUGCAUAGCACAGACUAAUAUAUUGCUUUUGUUUAUAAUGCAUUUACCCCUCUGCAUAUCAUGUUUUUAAAAUAGCUAUUUGCAACUGACUUAUUUAGAUUUGGAAAUGAAGCUUGUCUUGAAGUAAUCAGCAAUUUCUUUGCAUACUGUUAAAUAUUGGUAGCUGUAGUGUCACUGAUUUAUGGAGAAUGGAGACAUCGGAAAUUGCUGGCUACAAUUGAAUAUGUAGUUGCUUAAAGAUUUCUUAUAGCCCUUCCGAAUUUCAGUUUCUUCUCACAUACAAGAGCAGACCAAUAGAAACUAUCUGUUUGAGCACUGUUCUCUUUUGUAUGAAUAAUUGUUUGAUCUAUUUUGCUAGAGUGAACUGUAUGGUAUCUCACUAUUGUAACUCCCUUUCUUCUCCCUGCUAUUGUACACAGUGAUUUCGGUUGAGGAAUGGUUACGAUUUGUUGAUAGUGCUAUAUUUAAAAAACAAAAAAGGUUAGAGAUAUAGAAGAAUCAUGUAGUCUUUUAUUCGUAAUUAAUUAUAGUAUAUUUUGAAUGCUAAAGUUUAUUUGAAUGAUCACUAUGGCAUCUUAUAUUUUCCUGCCAACAAAGGAGAUAUUAUGUAUACUUGUGAGUAGGAGCCAGAAAAUACCAAUGUCAGCAAUUCUCAAGAAGUAAGUUCACUACUAUACUGGAGUAUGACUUUUCCCUUUGGUAUACCACUAUACCAGUGGUAUCAUGUGAGCUUCAUUUUCUCCACAAAAAUACUACUGUUGUACUAAAUUACUACAUGUUUGAAUUGAUGUAAUGUACAUGGACGUAAGAGUUUAAUUGUAUCAAAUUUUCACUGGCGGGUAAAUACCAUAUAAGCACGGUGCUCUGCAAGAAAAUCCUACUCCAUACGCUGUCAAGACUGGACCAAUCAAGAAGCAUCCUCAUAAUAUUGACCAACCAGAGUGUACGUACUCCAGAACUUAUAUUUGAAAUAUUGAAGAACAUAGGGCUAUGUUGUAACAGAUUACAGAUGUUCACUUCUGCUGAGGCGAAGGCUUUUGUCGACAUCCCAAUGUGGAGCAACGUGGAGGCUGAGUGGGCCGGCAAAGUGAAGGAAGAUCAUUGUCGAGGUUGACUGGCAGAAGUGCCCCGUUAACUACGAGCUGCUCAAGACUCGAGAGUGGCCUCACGGUGUUGCCAGGGUGAUACUACAUAAUUACGUUUUUUUGCUUUACAUUGUCGCUGAAGUAGUGAAAUUUAUGUUAACACCGCUGAUGACUGCUUAACGAUGCUAAAACAAUGUGGUCUGUUCUGGUUUGAUGCUUUGAAGGAAAAUGGAAACUCCUGUUGUUUCAGUUCA